GGGCGCCUGCUGGAGGAGAGGCGGCGCUCCUGCUGGAGGAGAGGCGGGCUCUGCUGGAGGAGAGGCGGCGCUCCUGCUGGAGGAGAGGCGGCGCUCCUGCUGGAGGAGAGGCGGCGCGUUGGUCUGGAGGAGAGUCGGCGCCUGCUGGAGGGGAGGCGGGCGCUCCUGCUGGAGGAGAGGCGGCGCUCCUGCUGGAGGAGAGGCGGGCGCUCCUGCUGGAGGAGAGGCGGUGCUCCUUCUGGAGGAGAGGUGGGCGCGGUGGUCUGGAGGAGAGGCGGACGCUCCUGCUGGAGGAGAGGCGGGCGCGCUGGUCUGGAGGAGAGGGGGCGCGGUGGUCUGGAGGAGAGGCGGCGCGGUGGUCUGGAGGAGAGGCAGACGCUCCUGCUGGAGGAGAGGGCGCGUGGUCUGGAGGAGAGGCGGCGCUCCUGCUGGAGGAGAGGCGGCGCUCCUGCUGGAGGAGAGGCGGCGCGGUGGUCUGGAGGAGAGGCGGCGCGGUGGUCUGGAGGAGAGGCGGCGCGGUCCGAGGAGGAGCAGUGCAGUCACCCCAAGCAGGAAAAAUACAUUUCACAUACAUUUUACAAUGUAUUUAAUGCAUGUAUUUUAAUGCAUGGCAAAAUGAGUAAAUAUGAUCCAGUUCAUAUAGUCUAGUAAUGUAUUUCAAGUGCACGUGAAAUAUAUUUACUAUGCAUUUAACACUUAUUUCCAAAUAGCAUUCCAAAUGUGUUUCUAAAUGCAAUGCAGAUGCAUUCAAAAUAUAUUAUAAAAUAUAUGCAUGUAAGUAUAUUUCGUAUAUAUUUCACAAACAUUGGAAGUACAUAUUGAAAUGGCCAAAUUUUACAGAUUAUUUUGCCAUGCAUUAGGAAUACAUCUUAGAAUACAUAAAAAAGAUAUGUGUGAAAUGUAUUUUAAUAUUUUUUUAAAAUAUUUUUUUUGAAUACCUGCUGGUGUCUGUUCCUUGCAGGUCCUGCAUAAUUGUGCGGAAGUGUCUGCUCUGGAUGAAGAACUAAAACACAAUCUAACGUUAUGACGGUUCACUACCCGGCUGAUCUAUUCCCUAAGAAAAGGGCAAAGAUUUUCCUUUUCAAAGCAAUUAAUUUUAAUCAGAAAUAAUGAGAGGACUGUCAUCGACCCAUCUCACACAGCUCUGGUUACACACUGUCUUUGCAAUGAUUCAAAUAAUUAGAAAGCAGACAGUAGCUUUCGCCUGGUUUUCCAGUUUGGUUUGACUUAAACUAAUAUUGUCAGCCAUUAAAGGCUUCACAGUUUGUACGAGGUGUUUGUCAUUAUGGAAAUGGUUUUGUAAUUAUGAAGUUUGCUGUGGAAGAGAUGAAAAAAGAAAGAGUCUUUUGAAGUGAAGGCCCUGCUAUAUAACAGCAUGUACAGCCAUUAGAAUUAAAAGAUGAAAGUAUAUUUUACAGAGCAGCACCUGCUCUGUAAAUGUUUUUUUGUUAUUUGCCAAAGGGACAUAAAACCUUGAAUAGUGUUUCUUUGUGAGGGUCACAAAGUUCAGGAAACUGAAAUUGGUGAUUAAUAAUUGACCAUAAAUUAUCCCUGUCAGUGACAUGAUGAUUCUCAUUGUGAGAAUAUUCUGAUUUCCCUUUCAAAGACGAGUGCAGUUUCCGCAGCGAACCCUGGCAGACAGACUGGGCCUCCCCAGAGGGAAAGGUUAUCGCCAGACUUUCUGCGGCGCUAUUUUUGAAACAGAAGGUCCGCACACCCGUCACACGUCUGCUAUUGAUUUGUUAGAGCUGAAGGGGGAGAGCGAACGAGCCAGAGGAUCCUGCAGAAAGAGAAAUGCCUUUGCAUAGGCAUGCCAUGAGAAAGAUAAGUCAUUAAGCAGCACUCCUUGACCAAAUCAUCAAAGGAUACAGCGGGAAGGCUGGGCGUCUAGGCUGGGUAAACGUAAGACAAAUGAUGUGCUGAAGUGUGUCUGACGGAUUGUGAAGAGCGUUGUUUGCAGACAGUGCCGCCUCCAUCCAUCACACUUAGCGCUGAUGGCUCCAGAUGUCAGCUGCAGCUACUUCAGCGCGCCCGCAAGCCGGCAAAUUGGAUAAACACCUCAGAGUGGAGGAAGAGAGGGCAAGGACCCGAGCUGGGCCUGCUUGUAAGAGGUAAUAUGCCGUGGUGAGAGUUGGACAGAAGCAGAAGCGCUUCCUGCAAUGCACUGCAGAGGCUCCCCUCCACAGCGGGCCAGGACUGCUGCAGGGAUCCGGGGGGGACUGCUGCAGGGAUCCGGGGGGGACUGCUGCAGGGAUCCGGGGGGACGGCUGCAGAGAUCCGGGGGGGGGAACCAUGUAGAAAAGGUCUCAUGAUCACUUCAGCACUUUCCACCAUGGUUGGUGGUCUAUGGGUUCCAUGCACCACCUUUUUCAGGUGUGUGUGUGUGUGGCAGGCAUGUAUCUAACACACCUGCACGGUCCCUAAGGUGCAGCAUUUAAACAGCAUUUAAACUUGGGUGAGAAAUGUAACUUGUUCUCAUAAAUACUUACAUGUUGAAAUGUUAGCUUUCACAUGGUUAAAUAAUAAGGCUGAUAUUUGUUAUAAUUCCUCAAGGAUAUUUGUCUAACCCUUUGGCAGAGACAUUAUUAAAAAGAUGAGCGCACUUAACUUUA
This is a long non-coding RNA of Anguilla rostrata (American eel), 2612 nucleotides long. RefSeq lists it as uncharacterized. NCBI's taxonomy places the organism in Eukaryota, Metazoa, Chordata, Actinopteri, Anguilliformes, Anguillidae. The record is from RefSeq and is a predicted model, not a curated record. The transcript has 2 exons.